Molecule: non-coding RNA, 95 nt
Organism: Termitomyces sp. Mi166#008
Lineage: Eukaryota; Fungi; Basidiomycota; Agaricomycetes; Agaricales; Lyophyllaceae
Source: the annotation of a GenBank genome assembly
UCCCUCUUAGCUCAGCGGUAGAGCGCUUCACUAGUAUCUCACCCAUCUGCUGUUGCAUCAUGAAGAGGUCAGUCGUUCAAGUCGGCUAGAGGGAA